This 228-nucleotide ribosomal RNA is filed under the name Vibrio alginolyticus. RNAcentral describes it as "partial 16S ribosomal RNA". It matches the Rfam family "Bacterial small subunit ribosomal RNA", at positions 1 to 217 of the family's 1533-position model. The record is from RNAcentral. Lineage: Bacteria; Pseudomonadati; Pseudomonadota; Gammaproteobacteria; Vibrionales; Vibrionaceae.
AAAUUGAAGAGUUUGAUCAUGGCUCAGAUUGAACGCUGGCGGCAGGCCUAACACAUGCAAGUCGAGCGGAAACGAGUUGUCUGAACCUUCGGGGAACGAUAACGGCGUCGAGCGGCGGACGGGUGAGUAAUGCCUAGGAAAUUGCCCUGAUGUGGGGGAUAACCAUUGGAAACGAUGGCUAAUACCGCAUAAUACCUACGGGUCAAAGAGGGGGACCUUCGGGCCUCU